Molecule: long non-coding RNA, 1543 nt
Filed under: Sarcophilus harrisii (Tasmanian devil)
Lineage: Eukaryota; Metazoa; Chordata; Mammalia; Dasyuromorphia; Dasyuridae
Description: lncRNA (ENSSHAG00000031447.1)
Source: RNAcentral
GAAAAGGAGGAGGAGGAGGGGAAAAAAGGACCAGAAAGAAAGAAAGAAGAAGAAGAAAGAGGAGGAGGAGGAGGAGGAAGAAGAAGAAGAAAAGAAGGAGGAGGAGGAGGAAGAGACAGAUAGAAGAAAGAGGAGGAGGAGGACAGAAGAGGAAGAAGAGAGGAGAGGAGGAGAGAGAAGAGGAGAGAAAAGAAUGCUAAGGGAGAGAGCAAGAGACUCAGAGAAGACACAGAAAGACAAGGGCUGAACCUCUUGGGGUGGGGGUGAGGGGGCGGAGGAGCAGGCGGGGACCAGGAGGCCUCUUUUCCCUCUCAGCAGCCCCGGCCCCAGGCCCGCCCCGGCCCUCUGGCUUCAGCUCUGGCCCCUCCGGCAGCCGGCGGACAGUGGGUUAAGGAUUGGGUGAUGUGGGAACUUCCGGAUAUGAUCACAGAGAGAGAGAGGAGGGAGACAGAGGGAGACAGACACACACACACAGAGGCAGACAGCUGAGCAUCCACUCAGCUGCUUACCAGCCCCCACAUCAGGGACCCAGGGGCCCAGCCCAGCCCAGCCCCUUGCCAGUGGUCUCCCCACACCGGUCCCUUCCUCUCGGCUUCCCUCCCUCUCUCCCUCCUUCCCUCUCUGAUCUUUCUUUCUUUCAUUCUUCCUGUCUCUGCCUGAAUCUUUCUCUUUCCCUGUCUCUCACUGGAUUCCCUGAGACUCCAGUUCUGGGGUGCUGUAGGGCGACUGGGGCUCAGGAGAGCCUUUUCUCCCCCAUCCUGGGGUCCAGACCCACCCUCCAACUCUCUCCAGCAGCCCAGGAUGCCCCUGGGGCCAGGGCACUGACCCCGGGGAGCUGGCCAGGAAACUGUGCUCUGGUGUCCUCAUGACAGAACACUACGCCCACCACUGAGCAGAAAGAGGGGGCCCUGGGCUGGGGGCCGAAAAUUACUCGCCCUCCAGCCCAGCCCCCCCGAUCUGGGGGGACAGACAUUGGGCCUGCCUGACGUACUCUGGGGGCCCAGGCACGAAGUAGUAGGGAUGCAUGUCCCCAGUCAGCCAGUACCACUGAGAGCUUACCCUUCCUUCCUCCCCAUCAGUCUCCAUUCCCCGGCUCUCCAGCUCUUGUUCCCGCUCUGAUCCCCUCUUCCGAUCUCCAUCCCUCGUUCUCUCUAUCCCUCUUUUCUUCCAUCUGUUCCUAAUUUCUGCUUCUCCAACUCUUGCCUAUCUCUACCCCUAUCAUUCCCUUCUCCAUUCCCGUCCCCUCUCCCACUGUUCCCCCUUCCUUCUAUCCCUCAUUCUAAUGUUCCCCCACCUCUAGCUUUCCCUCUCCUCCCUAUCCCUCUCUCUCCCAUCCCUGUCUCUCUAGCUCUCUCUUUCAUCUGUCCUCUCUCCUUCUUUUCUCCAUCUCACUCUCCACCUCCUAUCACCCGCUGAAAUGUUGCCCCAUCUUCCCAUCUAUCAUCCUUCUGACUCACUAUCCUUCCAUCUCCAGCUAAUUUCAUGCCAUAUUUAUUCCCUAAUCCUCCAUCCCUGAAUACUUCCCCCCUUUUUUCCAUCCUUC